GACGAGCCUCACAAACGUUAUUCGGGAUUACUGGGCUUAAAGGGUGCGUAGGCGGCGCGGAAAGUUGGGUGUGAAAUCCCUCGGCUCAACCGAGGAACUGCGCCCAAAACUACCGUGCUCGAGGAAGAUAGAGGUGAGCGGAACUCACGGUGGAGCGGUGAAAUGCGUUGAUAUCGUGAGGAACACCCGUGGCGAAAGCGGCUCACUGGGUCUUUUCUGACGCUGAUGCACGAAAGCUAGGGGAGCAAACGGG
RNAcentral lists this ribosomal RNA (253 nucleotides) under uncultured bacterium. RNAcentral describes it as "partial 16S ribosomal RNA". It matches the Rfam family "Bacterial small subunit ribosomal RNA", at positions 524 to 776 of the family's 1533-position model. The record is from RNAcentral.